AGUUCUAGCCUGGCCUACAUAUACUAUCGUUUUCUAUAAGGACAACGUCAUGGGAGAGAACUUAGUGACUUACAAUACACACAGUUCCCUCUUCAGUGCCAAAAGGACAAAUCAUGGUGACAGAGCUCGUGCGGCGUGCGUUAGGGGGAGUGUCUCUCCCUCCUCUAACUCCACCAAGGAGGCAGAGUGUAUGGAUGCAGAUGCUGCCGUUGGAGGGUGUUAUCAAUAUCUCUUGCCCAAAAUUUGUUUGGAAGUUGAUAAAUGUUGCCACACCCAACUGAGAGGAUAAAGAGAUUUAUCCUUCACUCUUGAAGAACAACAGAUGGCAGCCGGCUGGAACGAGGAAGAGAAGGAGGUGGAAUGGGACAAUCUUUCUUCUUCUUCAGCAGGAAGCUGUGGCAAAGACAGCAUUCAUACUGCGUUCUGUGGCUCAACGGUUUCUUCCGCACUGGGGUUAUUUCUACUACAUUCCAGGCAGGCUAUACUUUCUGGAGAGGUUCUGAAAGGAGUUAUGCCAGCAGCUCAGACAAACUGUUCAAAGGCAGCCUUCAUGAAGAGAUGCUUGAUUCUCAAGAGUUAAGGGUCAUGGUAGAGAGACCACUCAACUGAGCCUCCUCAGAGACAUGGGGGUGGGGGUGGGCGUUGAUUAUACACGGUGAGCUCCUUACCAGCAGGCUGCAUCAUCUCCUGCUCCACUCAGCAGCUUCAAAGCAGGCCAAAGGUGUUGUGAAGAACAGUGAAGAAGGCCUCUGCAAAUGAGACCCUGACCAAGAAGUUAGCAAAAAGGAACAUGCAGCAAUAAAAGUUGGCUUCCCCACCUCACACAUUAUGUUUUAGUAAUGCACUCUCCCACUCUGGUUAAAAAAAUAAAAUAAAAUAAAAAAACAAGUCAGUUAAAUAUUUACAUGCAGAAUCAGCCCUGGCAGCAGAUUCAAAGUUGACUAUUAAAGCCGGCAGAAGCUGCUUCUGUGUCAGAGGCUUUGAGAUUCUGGGCCUCAAUUAACCUUUCCAAAUAGGAACUGACAGCCCUGGAUGGAAAGUACGGGGAGACGAAAAUGUUUCUGAAGAAUGUUUGACUACAGAGUAAACAGCCCGAAUAAAAAUAUUGAAUCGGAUGCUGCCUCCACAUUCCAUGAAGCUGAACACAGCGAAAGCACACCAUUGAAUUGAAAAGAGGUCGUACAAGCUGCGUUUAACCAAACUACAUGAAAUGAGCUGUGUUAGAAUAAGACCGAGAAAAAAAUUUCUCCGGUUAUUUUAGGUCUUGACAUGAUGUUGCUGACAUUAAAGGCAUAACUUCACAGAUACUUAUCUGCACGCAAGCCUUCCUGUCAUUUCUGGUGCCAAAGCAAUGCAUGAGAAAAAUAUUUACUAGAUGUAUUUAUUCACUUUGAAGGAGGAUGCUCUUCUGGUAGCCAAACUAUUUUCUUUUGGUGCAAAAUAGGACAGUACAUAUUCUUCAGAUUCAGCAUUUCAUUAUGAUGGAAGAAGGAGAAGGGACCCAAGGGAACCCAUGGCAUCACUAAGAACUGUUACAAAACAACACACACCAAUGUUAAAUGUCGGAAGCACCCAUCCACAAGGCGGUGUCUCAUGGUCAGUGCCCAGAGCGUUUAUUAGCCAGCACAGGAUUCUCUGCGGAAUGCUGGCAUGUAGCUGUAAGAAGUUCAGGGCUGUGUCUCAGAAAGGCCUUUUGCAUCAGCUAGCUGACAACAUGGACUAGAAAAGUCUUUGUGACAUGUUAAGCAUGUAUCAUUCAUUCGGUAAGCCUUCAAGGCUGGUGACGCCAAGCACUGUCCUUCACCCGACUGGCUCGUCCACCGUGAAGAGAAUAUCACUGUUUUCUGAUCCUUUGCACCAGCUAGUUCUUGUCUGGACUCCUGUCCCUCUGAGCUGGUGAACCUUGCCCAUUUCUCUCCUUC
This is a non-coding RNA of Peromyscus maniculatus bairdii (prairie deer mouse), 1922 nucleotides long. The record is from RefSeq and is a predicted model, not a curated record. Lineage: Eukaryota; Metazoa; Chordata; Mammalia; Rodentia; Cricetidae.